Molecule: transfer RNA, 56 nt
Filed under: Gyraulus sp. GE1
Lineage: Eukaryota; Metazoa; Mollusca; Gastropoda; Planorbidae
Description: tRNA-Leu
Source: RNAcentral
AAAAUGGCAGAUUAUGCAUAGAUUUUAAGCGUCUAUUAUGAAUUUUACAUUCUUUU